This is a long non-coding RNA of Malus domestica (apple), 2543 nucleotides long. RefSeq lists it as uncharacterized. NCBI's taxonomy places the organism in Eukaryota, Viridiplantae, Streptophyta, Magnoliopsida, Rosales, Rosaceae. The record is from RefSeq and is a predicted model, not a curated record.
AGUAGCUAUGGCAUUACUAAAUUAUGCGAUGUCGUGCUUUAAGCUUCCAGUUGGCCUUUGUAAGGAGCUGGAAGCGGUCAUUGCUAAGUUUUGGUAGAUAAGGAAUAAGGAUAAGGGCGGUAUACAUUGGAUUUCUUGGCAAAAAAUGAAACGGAGGAAGAAGGCUAGAGGGUUUGGGUUUAGAGAUUUAUUGUUGUUUAACUUGGCUUAUUUAGCUAAGAUUGGCUAGCGAAUUUUACGUAACCCGAAGUCGUUGUUGGGAAGCAUUCUUAAAGCCAAGUAUUUCCCGGAUCAGCCAUUUAUGGAGGCUAGGCAAGGGAUGAGAUCUUCAUGGGGGUGGAAGGGUAUUAUCCAGGGGUGGAAGAUAAGCAUCAAUAUUUACUUCAUGGGGGUGGAAGGGUAUUAUCCAGGGGUGGAAGAUAAGCAUCAAUAUUUAUAACGAUCCUUGGUUGCCAGGGCCUCAUACAUAUAAGGUCAGGUCAAAACAUGUGGAUAGGCCUGUGAUAGGGGAUGCUUUGAUUGAUUCAGAGUGAGCUGUUUGAAGGGAAGAUCUUAUACGAAGGGUCUUUGAGGAAAAAAAAGGUAAUAUUAUUCUUAGGCUACCUAAGUUUAUUGGGGUGUUCAAACAAACUUAUUUGGCAUUAUUUUACUAAUGGUGUCUAUACGGUUCGAACGGGUUAUGGUGUUCCAUGGAGAUGAGGGAGAAUGGAAAGCUUGGGAGGAAAGAGAUAGGGGGAAGGAGUAAGCGUGAUGUGGGGUGAUCGCAGCUGGGGGGAUUUAUGGAGGUUAGAGGUUCCUAAUAAGUUAAAGUUGUUUAUAUGGCAGUGUUGUAACCAUUCAUUGGAGGUGCGAUGUAAUCUGAUUAAACGUCGUAUGCAAAUGGAUAGCAAAUGUGUUAUGUGUGGUGAAGCGGAGGAAAUGAAGCAUCACCUGUUUUUUCAAUGUCCGUUUAGUCAGGUGUUUUGGUACUGUUGUUUUUUGCAACUCGAUAUGGCAUCAGUGGUUGGUAGAGAUUUCUAUGAGUAUUGACAGAUGCUUUGUGGUAAGUUUUGGGACAACGAUCGACGAAUGGAGCUGUUGCAGGCGUGUGUGUUUGUCAUCUGGAGGAUAUGGAAGAACAGGAAUAAAAUGGUUUUUAAUGGUGUUUUGGUUAAUCCUUUAGAGAUGGUGAAUGUAAUGCGACGUAGUCUUUUAGAGUUUAGAGCUAGGUUAGGCAGCAAGAGGAGUGAUGAGGGCGAUGGUGCAGAAGGGAGUGGUGUUAGCGUUGCUGGGAAGCGUGUUCGAUGGAUGAGUCCUCCUUUUAGGGUACUGAAGAUCAAUUGUGAUGGUGCAUAGAGCGGGAAGAGCAAAGGUGGUUAUGGGUGGGUGCUAAGGGAUUUUGCUGGGUUGUUGCAAACGACUAGAGGGGAAGGGGGUUUGUUUUUUAACUUGGCAGUAAUGGCUGAAGUUCCUACGAUCCGAGCUGCUUUAUGGGUUUGUAUUGAGUUAGGCUGUAUGGAUGUGGAGCUUGAAUCGGAUUCUCAAGUUCUUAUUCGAAUGAUUAGGGGAGAGUAUGAUAUCGAUGCUACUUUGGACUGCUUUAUUCAUGAUAUUUGACUUCUGGUAUCGCAAUUAGGAAGGGUGAGGUUUGGGUUUGUUAAGCGGAGUGGCAAUACCGAUGCACAUGUCGUUGCCUCUUAUGUAGCCUCACAUGGAGGUGCUUUGCGGUGGGAUGCGAUUGGUCCAGAGUUCUUAUUUAAUAUUCUUGCUCAAGAUGUGUGCCAACUCAUGACAGAGCUCAAUCGGGCUAGUAGAAAAGAUAUGAUGAUGGUGGUGCUUGACUUUGUACAUCCUAAUCAACAAUGGCCGAGGAAAGAACACACCUUGGCCUGGCUUCUAGAACCUAAAGACAAGGUUACCUAAUUCACUGUGAAGUUUAGGAUCUUAUGCACUGAGUUUGGCUGUUUCAACUAUAUUUGUGAGAAUAGAGUGCGCCAAACCAGUAGUAGGUUAAGGGGCAAAGGUACCCAAAGGAGAUGAGUAUUUUUAUAAUGAACGUGGUUGGCCUUCAAAAUGCUGAACUAUGAAGUGCACCUGAGAGUAACCGAUCAUAGAGUACUUCACUUUGCCAAGCAACUAAUGAAGUGACCACUUUAGACCAAAGAAUUGAGAACUCUUCACAUACCAAGACUUGGAUAGAUAACCAACUAACCAAAAGCAGUAUUGUACUUGUCCAAAAUAAAGGUGUUCCUGAAUCGUCUGGUUGUACGGCUCUAGUCCUAUUUACUUAUCCACACGGAAGAUGCCUCCAAUUGUCAAAAUUACUUAUCCAUACUGAAUGUGUGUUGAUGGGAGGGUUAUGAUAAUUAGUAUUUUCUCAAGGGUGUGAGAAAUGUUUCGUGUAGAGCGAAGGUUUUCACAUGGAGAAUUUUUUAGUUGUUUGUUGAGUUGAAGAGAGCUUCACAUUGCAGAAUCUCUUCUAUUUAUAAAGAUGUGCUUCGUAAUAAACAAAUAUGUCGAUGCAGAGUCUUGAUGAGGCUGUGCCUACUCGGAAUUUACCUAGA